AGUGGAUAGCUAAGUAUAAGUAUUUUAUUUACAUUGAUUUGAUGUUAACUAUUAACUUCACUUAU
This 65-nucleotide transfer RNA is filed under the name Anoeconeossa unicornuta. RNAcentral describes it as "tRNA-Val". Lineage: Eukaryota; Metazoa; Arthropoda; Insecta; Hemiptera; Aphalaridae. The record is from RNAcentral.